GUGAUGCAUUAGUGUCAAUCAAAAUAUGAGCAAGAUGGUUACAGAUAAUAUACAUACCCUGUACCAUAUUCGGGUUGACUUCGGUGUCCUACUGGGUGAGGUUGUUUGCCUUGGAUAGGGGGUCUGCCCUAAUUCUGGUUCCUUGGGCACUCGCUCGCAUAGUGUUGGGCACUACCACAUAUGUGACAGGUGUUGUUGAGGUGGUAGCAUGGUCGGUCCCCGUGAUCCCUACCACAAUGCUGACAGA
This 247-nucleotide long non-coding RNA is filed under the name Carica papaya (papaya). RNAcentral describes it as "long non-coding RNA (CPAP_LNC014631)". The record is from RNAcentral. Lineage: Eukaryota; Viridiplantae; Streptophyta; Magnoliopsida; Brassicales; Caricaceae.